Molecule: ribosomal RNA, 474 nt
Filed under: uncultured bacterium
Lineage: Bacteria
Description: SSU rRNA
Rfam family: Bacterial small subunit ribosomal RNA
Source: RNAcentral
AGGACGAACGCUGGCGGCGUGCUUAACACAUGCAAGUCGAGCGGAAAGGCCCUUCGGGGUACUCGAGCGGCGAACGGGUGAGUAACACGUGAGUAAUCUGCCCCUAGCUCUGGGAUAGCUCCGGGAAACCGGGAUUAAUACUGGAUACGACCACCUUAGACAUCUUUUGUGGUGGAAAGAAUUUCGGCUAGGGAUGAGCUCGCGGCCUAUCAGCUUGUUGGUGGGGUAACGGCCUACCAAGGCGACGACGGGUAGCCGGCCUGAGAGGGCGACCGGCCGACACUGGGACUGAGACACGGCCCAGACUCCUACGGGAGGCAGCAGUGGGAAUAUUGCGCAAUGGGCGAAAGCCUGACGCAGCGACGCCGCGUGGGGGAUGAAGGCCUUCGGGUUGUAAACCCCUUUCAGCAGGGACGAAGCGAAAGUGACUGUACCUGCAGAAGAAGCACCGGCUAACUACGCGCCAGCAGCCGC